Long non-coding RNA from Fundulus heteroclitus (mummichog), 1050 nucleotides. RefSeq lists it as uncharacterized. NCBI's taxonomy places the organism in Eukaryota, Metazoa, Chordata, Actinopteri, Cyprinodontiformes, Fundulidae. The transcript is spliced from 3 exons. The record is from RefSeq and is a predicted model, not a curated record.
AAGGCAUAAAAGGAUUGGGAUUUGCUUCCUUCCAAGUCUGUCCAGUACAAGGGGAAAACAAAAUGUACCCGUGCACAACGGGAGAGGCAAAGGGGGGAUUACAAAAAAAUAAUACAGAAACAUACUCUGGAUAGGCUUGGAGCUGCUACAAAAGACAAACGGAUGGAUGCCAAUGUUUCCAGGAAGCAGGAGGUAAAGAGCUCGGUUUUGGGGUUGUCUCUCGUGGCUUUCAUGCGGGACAUUGACACUCAGCUGCCCCGCUACCCCCCUCUCCCCGCCAAUGAUAGGAGCUUGAUCGGGCAGGAAUCCAUUUGCAACCUCAUCACUUUCCCCCGGUCUGAACAACGGAGCCGAUUGUUCCAACCGCCCGCCUAAUGGAGAAGGCCCAAGAAAACCUGGCUUCUUACCCCUUGCUGCCUGUGUAUCUUUUCUAUCGGGGCUACGACUCGAAACGGAGGGCAGACCUCAGCAAAGUGAACCCCCACCCCCCCCCCCCCCCCCCCCACAUCGUCACCUCCCGCCCCCGGCACCGAGGGACAUCAACGGGCUCCAUUUGUAGCAAAUUUGCUCCCCCAGCUCUCUUUAAUUGACCGACUUUGCCACUAACAAGGAGCUGAUUGAGCUCAACAAAAGCGCCGUCUCAGUACCAGAGGUCCAUUUCACGUCUUGGAAGUCAACCGGCAGCGUCGCACUAACUGUCUUUUUAUCAUUUUCAGGCCGAACUUCUUCUCUCUAUGGCUUGAUGGAGCUGCUUCCUAACAGAGUGACGCGUUUGCAGAGAGAGGAAAACCAGCAGCGUUGGAAAUAGAGGCAGUUAUCCCGACUUAGCGAAAAGGGGGCUGCCGCUGAUGGCAUCAGUUGAUUCUGCCGUUUCUUUAUAUCUGCUUGAUGAAUGUGAUGUUUGGCCACCACAAUUAGACAGGAUUGUUUACUAUAUAACCUUGUAAUCAACCUGGCUUGGUUGACAGCUCACCAUUACCCCUUGAUAACAGGUCUGCCACAAUUUGGACCCUGAAAGAAAAUAUAUAUUAAAAAGAAAACCACCGAGAA